RNAcentral lists this ribosomal RNA (322 nucleotides) under uncultured eukaryote. RNAcentral describes it as "partial 18S ribosomal RNA". It matches the Rfam family "Eukaryotic small subunit ribosomal RNA", at positions 1470 to 1796 of the family's 1831-position model. The record is from RNAcentral.
CCCUUAGAUGUUCUGGGCCGCACGCGUGCUACACUGAGUGGAUCAGCGGGUCAGGUUGCGCGAAAGUGUUUCCUAAUCUUGAAAUCCGCUCGUGAUGGGGAUUGACGGUUGCAAUUUUCCGUCAUGAACGAGGAAUACCUUGUAAGCGCGGGUCAUCAUCCCGCGCUGAAUACGUCCCUGCCCUUUGUACACACCGCCCGUCGCCCCUACCGAUUGAGUGGUCCGGUGAGGCUUUGGGAUCUGAGCAAAGAGAGCGUUUCGCUCGUUUUGCCCGGAAAACUCAGUCGAACCUUAUCAUUUAGAGGAAGGAGAAGUCGUAACA